Molecule: unclassified non-coding RNA, 21 nt
Filed under: Chlamydomonas reinhardtii
Lineage: Eukaryota; Viridiplantae; Chlorophyta; Chlorophyceae; Chlamydomonadales; Chlamydomonadaceae
Description: small RNA Cre_3147
Source: RNAcentral
UGCGUUACACCCGGCCGGUGC